Prunus persica (peach) is the source of this 911-nucleotide long non-coding RNA. RefSeq lists it as uncharacterized. The record is from RefSeq and is a predicted model, not a curated record. The transcript has 2 exons. NCBI's taxonomy places the organism in Eukaryota, Viridiplantae, Streptophyta, Magnoliopsida, Rosales, Rosaceae.
AAAUAAAACGGUCUAAAGAUGACUGAAGCCUAAUUAGUGGGGACGAUACGGCGCCGUUUGGUGUUUUUACCUGCACGGCUGCAAAGUUCUCAUCCUAUGUCCUCUCCCGCUAAGCUCUUGGACUUGUUUACCACUGACAGUGAAGACACAUUUCCAAGUUGCAACCCUUAAAACCCACACACUUAUCUCAUGGCUUAAUAGCAACGCCCAAUAGUUGAUAUUACUUGGGCAACGAAGAAGUUGAGCUCUUGGUAGCUCUGUCGAUGGCGUCUCUUUCUUUCACUCACUUUCUCCUCUUACCCAGGUCCUUGGUGACUUUUGUUGUUCAUGGAUGUGUCUUGCUGUCAUUGGGAUGGUUGCGUUGUGGUGUUGUCGACCCAGCUUUUCUCUUUGGUUUUCGUUGUGUUUUUUACGCAAAUAUUGCAAUCUACCGUAGACGCCAUGAUUUUGUUGCAGCUUUUGGUCCACGCAUAUGGAAUUCGCUCCAAUUUAGUGUUUGGAGUUGGAAAAGUGAUUGUUGCUGGUUUGUGUGGGAUCGGGUUUAGCCUGUGCAAAAUAAGAGGUUAGUCAUGUUGGUGCUAUGAGUCUCUUUGGUUUGCUAGAGAGGAAGUGGUGCGGUGUCCUUGUUUCUGUGUUUUUUUUAGUCUAAUAAUUCUCAGAAACUCAAUAGGAGUUUGCUAUUGUAUGUAUUUCGUGUUCGACUUUUCGAUGUAGAUUCAUCGUUACUGCCGUUGCGCGGUGGAUUUGUAUUGUAGGUUACAGAUAGUUCUUGUCUGCCAAAUUGGAGUUUUUAAGUUUUUCUGGCAUACGUAAUUCUCUCCAGAUCAAACCAAUUUAUCUUUUUGUUUGGUCACUGGAGAUGUUGUACUCAUAUUUAGUAUUGCGAUUACUCUGUACUUUUUUAUGUGUUA